UUGACCUCGGAUCAGGUGGGGAUA
Molecule: ribosomal RNA, 24 nt
Filed under: Sticta sp. TW-2018i
Lineage: Eukaryota; Fungi; Ascomycota; Lecanoromycetes; Peltigerales; Lobariaceae
Description: partial 28S ribosomal RNA
Source: RNAcentral